CCUACGGGAGGCAGCAGUAGGGAAUCUUCCACAAUGGGCGAAAGCCUGAUGGAGCAACGCCGCGUGGGUGAAGAAGGUCUUCGGAUCGUAAAACCCUGUUGUUAGAGAAGAAAGUGCGUGAGAGUAACUGUUCACGUUUCGACGGUAUCUAACCAGAAAGCCACGGCUCACUACGUCCCAGCAGCCGCGGUAAUACGUAGGUGGCAAGCGUUAUCCGGAUUUAUUGGGCGUAAAGGGAACGCAGGCGGGCUUUUAAGUCUGAUGUGAAAGCCUUCGGCUUAACCGGAGUAGUGCAUUGGAAACUGGGAGACUUGAGUGCAGAAGAGGAGCGUGGAACGCCAUGUGUAGCGGUGAAAUGCGUAGAUAUAUGGAAGAACACCAGUGGCGAAAGCGGCUGUCUGGUCUGUAACUGACGCUGAGGUUCGAAAGCGUGGGUAGCAAACAGGAUUAGAUACCCUUGUAGUC
This 465-nucleotide ribosomal RNA is filed under the name uncultured bacterium. RNAcentral's name for it is "partial 16S ribosomal RNA". It matches the Rfam family "Bacterial small subunit ribosomal RNA", at positions 338 to 795 of the family's 1533-position model. The record is from RNAcentral.